Molecule: ribosomal RNA, 521 nt
Filed under: Habronattus virgulatus
Lineage: Eukaryota; Metazoa; Arthropoda; Arachnida; Araneae; Salticidae
Description: partial 16S ribosomal RNA
Rfam family: Bacterial large subunit ribosomal RNA
Source: RNAcentral
UUCUAUUAGAAAUUAUUAAUAGUAAAAUCUGCUCCAUGUAUAAUAAAUAGCCGCAAUUUGUGCUAAGGUAGCAUAAUCAUUUGUCUUUUAAAUGAAGACUAGAACAAAAGAUUUAACAUUUUCAGUUUAUUUUCCUAAUUCAUCCAAUCAAAUUUAUCCUAAAUGUAAAAAGACAUUUAUACAAAAGAAAGACGAUAAGACCCUAUUGAACUUAACUGCAGUUAAACUGGGGCAGUAAAUUAAUUAUUAUUUUAAUAAAAUUUAUUCCAUAAAUAUCUAAUAAAAUUAAAUAAUUCAGUUACCAUAGGGAUAACAGCGUAAUAAUCUUCUAAAGAUCUUAUUUAAAAUAUAGAUUACGACCUCGAUGUUGAAUUAAUAACCUAAUUAAGGCAAAACUUAAAAAAGGAAGUCUGUUCGACUUUUAAAAAAUUACAUGAUUUGAGUUCAGACCGGUGUAAGCCAGGUCGGUUUCUAUCUUCUAAAAAAUUUUUUACAGUACGAAAGGACCUAAAAAUAUAAUA